CCUACGGGAGGCAGCAGUGAGGAAUAUUGGUCAAUGGACGAGAGUCUGAACCAGCCAAGUAGCGUGAAGGAUGACUGCCCUAUGGGUUGUAAACUUCUUUUAUAUGGGAAUAAAACGUUCCACGUGUGGGAUUUUGUAUGUACCAUAUGAAUAAGGAUCGGCUAACUCCGUGCCAGCAGCCGCGGUAAUACGGAGGAUCCGAGCGUUAUCCGGAUUUAUUGGGUUUAAAGGGAGCGUAGGUGGAUUGUUAAGUCAGUUGUGAAAGUUUGCGGCUCAACCGUAAAAUUGCAGUUGAAACUGGCAGUCUUGAGUACAGUAGAGGUGGGCGGAAUUCGUGGUGUAGCGGUGAAAUGCUUAGAUAUCACGAAGAUCUCCGAUUGCGAAGGCAGUUCACUGGACUGCAACUGACACUGAGGCUCGAAAGUGUGGGUAUCAAACAGGAUUAGAUACCCUUGUAGUC
RNAcentral lists this ribosomal RNA (460 nucleotides) under uncultured bacterium. RNAcentral's name for it is "partial 16S ribosomal RNA". It matches the Rfam family "Bacterial small subunit ribosomal RNA", at positions 338 to 795 of the family's 1533-position model. The record is from RNAcentral.